Molecule: transfer RNA, 72 nt
Filed under: Cryptococcus deneoformans JEC21
Lineage: Eukaryota; Fungi; Basidiomycota; Tremellomycetes; Tremellales; Cryptococcaceae
Also listed under: 28 other names
Description: tRNA-Pro (AGG) (tRNA-Pro-AGG-1 1 to 5)
Rfam family: tRNA
About the family: Transfer RNA (tRNA) molecules are approximately 80 nucleotides in length. Their secondary structure includes four short double-helical elements and three loops (D, anti-codon, and T loops).
Source: RNAcentral
GUUUCGUUGGUGCAGUGGUAGCAUGCCCUCUUAGGGUGGGGGUGGUCCUCGGUUCAAUCCCGGGACGAGACC